Molecule: non-coding RNA, 126 nt
Organism: Triticum aestivum (bread wheat)
Lineage: Eukaryota; Viridiplantae; Streptophyta; Magnoliopsida; Poales; Poaceae
Source: Rfam
UUAGUAUUCCCUCCGUCCGAAAAAGCUUAUCCCUUAAAUGGAUGUAUCUGGCAUCAAGUUAAUGCUGGAUACAUUCAUUUGAGGAACAAGCUUGGUACAAGCUUUUUCGGACGGAGGGAGUAUUAU